This 73-nucleotide transfer RNA is filed under the name Desulfocurvibacter africanus subsp. africanus str. Walvis Bay. RNAcentral's name for it is "Desulfovibrio africanus str. Walvis Bay tRNA". It matches the Rfam family "tRNA". From Rfam's summary of the family: Transfer RNA (tRNA) molecules are approximately 80 nucleotides in length. Their secondary structure includes four short double-helical elements and three loops (D, anti-codon, and T loops). Lineage: Bacteria; Pseudomonadati; Thermodesulfobacteriota; Desulfovibrionia; Desulfovibrionales; Desulfovibrionaceae. RNAcentral also lists the same sequence under 1 other name. The record is from Rfam by way of RNAcentral.
GCCAGCGUAGCUCAGUUGGUAGAGCAGCUGAUUCGUAAUCAGCAGGUCCGGAGUUCAAAUCUCCGCGCUGGCU